Non-coding RNA from Callithrix jacchus (white-tufted-ear marmoset), 2581 nucleotides. Lineage: Eukaryota; Metazoa; Chordata; Mammalia; Primates; Cebidae. The record is from RefSeq and is a predicted model, not a curated record.
UCUUGUUCUCGUAGACGUCGUGGAGCUUGAGGACGUGCGGGUGUUCGAUAAGCUUCAGGAUGGCAAUCUCCCGUUCCACCUGAGGGCCAAGAGGGGCAGGGACAUGGGAACAGAGUGUUUUGGAGACCCUAUGACUCCCGACUAUAAUCUCACAUUUGCUCCUCCACCUCCUCCCGACUCUGCAGCCCCAACUGCCUUCCUGGGUGUUCUCUUGGUGGCAGCCAUAACAGACAGGACGCAGACCCCAAAGGAAGGUGGCCGAGGCCGGAGGCCAGCGCUUAGCAACAGCAGAGGAUGAGCGCCCUUUCCACAGCCGCUCCAGGAGACUCGCCUGCAGCAGCCCACCUUCCCACCCGCUCCUGUUUCCCACUCUGAGCCAGCACACCACAGAGGGGGACAGCAUCCUAGGCCCCACAGCCCCGUCACCCCAACUCGAUGCUUGGAGAGCAGGAGGCCAGAGGACAGUGGAGAGGGAAGAGGCUUCCCAGGACACAGGCACUCCACCCCAGUCUGCAGCCGUACUGCAGCAAGAGCCUCAGCUCCCAGCCGGCCCCACUCCGCAGGCCGCCUCCUUCCCCUCCCCUGCCCUGGAGCCCCUCCAGCCACUGUCCCUAUGAGAGCUGGAACAUUGGGGCCCCAAACUCCCUGUCCCAACACUCGGGGUUCCGACCACCCUCAUCCCUCAGACCCAAGAGUUCAGGCUCCCAGCCCCUCCUCCUUCAGACCUAGGAGUCCAGACCACCAAACCCUCCUCUCUCAGACCCAGAGUCCAGAUCCCUGCCCUUCCUACCUCAGACCCAGGAGUCCAGGACCCCAGUCCCCCCUCCCUCAGACCCGGGAGUCCAGGACCCCAGUCCCUCCUCCCUCAGACCCGGGAGUCCAGGACCCCAGCCCCUCCUCCCUCAGACCCGGGAGUCCAGGACCCCAGCCCUCCUCCCUCAGACCCGGGAGUCCAGGACCCCAGCCCUCCUCCCUCAGACCGGGGAGUCCAGGACCCCACCUCCAGCUCCCUCAGACCCAGGAGUGCAGGCCCCCAGCCCCUCCUCCCUCAGACCACCCAGCAGUGCAGGCCCCCAGCCCCUCCUCCCUCAGACCCGGAGUCCAGGCCCCCAGCCCCUCCUCUCUCAGACUCAGGAGUGCAGGCCCCCAGCCCCUCCUCCCUCAGACCCAGGAGUGCAGGCCCCCAGCCCCUCCUCCCUCAGACCCAGGAGUCCAGGUCCCCAGCUCCUCUACUCCAGGACCUCAGAGUCUGUGCCCCCCACCCCCUCCACCCUGGGUCUCAGGGGUCUGAAUUCCAAGUCCCUUCUCUAUGAAGGGCCCAGGGGUCUGGGCAGCCAGCCCCUGCCCUUUCAAUACCCUGAAUCCCUACUGUGCCCCCACCUCCACCCUGCUCCUGCCCCAGGUAUCCCCUUCUGCUAGGCUCACCUGUCUGUCCUUUGCCCAGCGUCUUCUCCAGCCGAUAGGGGCCCACAUAUUGGGCAUGCUGGGGUGGGUGAGGGUGGGGGUGGGGGAGGUGGUAGGCAGGAGAGCCCCCGCCUCCCUCCUUGGCCCCGGACGACAUGGUGCCCUUGGUCCCGGCCCGACCGGUUCCCCGGCCGCCCCCCCUGCGGCCGGUCGCCCCGUCUCUCCGGUGGGGGCCGGCGACCGCUCCGUCCCGGCCCCCCCGGCUGCCCCCCACGUCUCCGGGGGUCCCCAGGGGGCUGGGCUGGCCCCCCCCAGUCGGCGGGCCGCGGAGCUGGGGGAGGGGGGGCUGGCCCGGGGGGUCAGGCCCCGGGAGUCAGCAUGGCCCGGGGGGGCUGCGGGGCCCCCCCUCCCCAGCCCGUUUCUGGCCGGCCCCCCGCUUCCUGCGCCUCCCCCCGCCGGGGGGGUCUGAGGUGCGGGCCAGCGGAUGCUGCAGGCCGAGGUCCCCCCCGCCCCCCCCACGCGCCCUCUCUCCUCCGCCUCCUCCUCCUCUCCGCCUCCCCCCGCCACCUCGUCCUUUCUCUCCGGCACGCUGACAUCACCAUCCGGGGACUCCGGGCCCUUCCCCAAAGUUAACCCUUUCGGAGGGGGAGGGGGAGCGCGGGGGGGGGGAGGGGGCGGGCCUCUAUUUGGAGGGAUGGAGAUGAGGUGGGAGGAUGCAGGAGAGAGGAUGGAGGGAAGGAUGGGGAGGGAGGAGAGAGAGAGAGAGAGAGGAGAGAGAGAGAGGACCCAACAGAUGGGGCAGAGAUGGAGAUACACAAAGAGAGAUGCUGGCUGACACUGGCAGAGACGCGGGAGGGAUGGAGACCACCAGAGACAGGCUGAGGCAGAGAGGGAGGGCAGAGAUGGGCAGGGACAGAAGAGAAGGAAGGAAUGGCAAGCCGGGCAGACAGACGGAGAGGGAGAGAGAGCUGCUGGAAGCCGACAGAGGGCUGGAGACUCAGAGACUCGGAGAGACAGAGAGAGGAAGGCCAGCCAGAGAGGAGCUUCCCUCUGUUGCCCAGGCUGGAGUGCCAUGGGACAAUUAUAGCUUCCUGCAGCCUCGACCUUCUUGGCUCAAGUGACCCCCCUGCUGCAGCCUCCCACGCAGCUGUGACUAUAGGAAAAUGCCAUCACACAU